This 427-nucleotide ribosomal RNA is filed under the name uncultured bacterium. RNAcentral's name for it is "bacterial SSU rRNA". It matches the Rfam family "Bacterial small subunit ribosomal RNA", at positions 355 to 774 of the family's 1533-position model. The record is from RNAcentral.
UAGGGAAUCUUCCACAAUGGGCGCAAGCCUGAUGGAGCAACACCGCGUGAGUGAAGAAGGGUUUCGGCUCGUAAAGCUCUGUUGUUGGAGAAGAACAUGCGUGAGAGUAACUGUUCACGCAGUGACGGUAUCCAACCAGAAAGUCACGGCUAACUACGUGCCAGCAGCCGCGGUAAUACGUAGGUGGCAAGCGUUAUCCGGAUUUAUUGGGCGUAAAGCGAGCGCAGGCGGUUGCUUAGGUCUGAUGUGAAAGCCUUCGGCUUAACCGAAGAAGGGCAUCGGAAACCGGGCGACUUGAGUGCAGAAGAGGACAGUGGAACUCCAUGUGUAGCGGUGGAAUGCGUAGAUAUAUGGAAGAACACCAGUGGCGAAGGCGGCUGUCUGGUCUGCAACUGACGCUGAGGCUCGAAAGCAUGGGUAGCGAACA